This is a non-coding RNA of Nicotiana tabacum (common tobacco), 1010 nucleotides long. NCBI's taxonomy places the organism in Eukaryota, Viridiplantae, Streptophyta, Magnoliopsida, Solanales, Solanaceae. The record is from RefSeq and is a predicted model, not a curated record.
CUAAACUGACUUUGACCAUUAUUUCAACUCCUAUAUACUCCUCAUCCUCCUCUCCUUUCGUUUCAUUCUCAAGUAUCAAGUCUCAACCAAUCUCUUUUUCUCUUCUUGGCAAAAAGCAGCAACUUUCUUUCGCCGUCUCCUCUCAGGCCAGAUUUUUGUUAAAACCUUAACUGGUAAGACCAUCACCCUUGAAGUUGAGAGCUCGGAUAUAUACCAUUGACAACGUCAAGGCGAAAAUCCAAGACGGGGGAUUCCUCCAGACCAGCAGAAGUUGAUUUUUGCUGGAAAGCAAAUUGAAGAUGGCUGAACUCUUGCUGAUUACAAUAAUUAAAAGGAGUCAACCCUCCAUCUUGUCCUCCGUCUACGUGGUGGCAUGCAGAUCUUUGUUAAGACUUUUGACGGGGAAGACUAUCACCUUGGAGAUUAAGAGUUCUGACACAAUAGACAAUGUGAAGGCCAAAAUUCAAGACAAGGAAAGCAUUCCCCGACCAGCAGCGUUUGAUAUUUGCAGGGAAGCAACUUGAAGAUGGAAGGACACUUGCUGACUAUAACAUACAGAAGGAGUCAACACUUUAUCCGGUGUUGCGUUUGAGGGGAGGUAUACAGAUAUUUGUCAACACACUUUGACAGGGAAGACCAUAACAUUAGAAGUGGAGAGCUCCGACACUAUAGAUAAUGUGAAGGCGAAAAUUGAGGACAAAGAAGGGAUCCCACCAGACCCGCAGAGGCUCAUGUUUGCUGGUAAGCAGCUGGAGGAUGGGCGUACCCUUGCGGAUUACAAUAUCCAAAAGGAAUCCACACUCCACCUUGUCCUUCGCCUUCGCCUGCGUGGUGGUGACUACUGAGGAUUGAGGCUCUCUGGAGUUUUAUAUAACAUCUUAUGUCUUUGUUUUGAUGGCUGUGUUGUUAGACUUCUUUUUGGUAUUUGAAGAAUACUAAUGUUGAAUGACCAAACCUUAAGGGGUUAGCUUUUAAUUAGAUAGAUUUCUUUUCCUUUGGUCUGCUAAAAA